This 478-nucleotide ribosomal RNA is filed under the name uncultured bacterium. RNAcentral describes it as "partial 16S ribosomal RNA". It matches the Rfam family "Bacterial small subunit ribosomal RNA", at positions 28 to 523 of the family's 1533-position model. The record is from RNAcentral.
GACGAACGCUGGCGGCGUGCUUAACACAUGCAAGUCGAACGGUAAGGCCCUUCGGGGUACACGAGUGGCGAACGGGUGAGUAACACGUGGGUGAUCUGCCCUGCACUUCGGGAUGAGCCUGGGAAACUGGGUCUAAUACCGGAUAGGACCCUGGGAUGCAUGUCCUGGGGUGGAAAGCUUUUGCGGUGUGGGAUGGGCCCGCGGCCUAUCAGCUUGUUGGUGGGGUAAUGGCCUACUAAGGCGACGACGGGUAGCAGGCCUGAGGGGGUGACCGGCCACGCUGGGACUGAGAUACGGACCAGACUCGUACGGGGGGCAGCAGUGGGGAAUAUUGCACAAUGGGCGCAAGCCUGAUGCAGCGACGCCGCGUGAGGGAUGCCGGCCUUCGGGUUGUAAACCUCUUUCAGUAGGGACGAAGCGCAAGUGACGGUACCUACAGAAGAAGGACCGGCCAACUACGUGCCAGCAGCCGCCGCGG